This 770-nucleotide long non-coding RNA is filed under the name Fukomys damarensis (Damara mole-rat). RNAcentral's name for it is "lncRNA (ENSFDAG00000025194.1)". Lineage: Eukaryota; Metazoa; Chordata; Mammalia; Rodentia; Bathyergidae. The record is from RNAcentral.
GAUCCUCAAAUAACACUGGAAUAUCUAAUGUCUCUCCUUAUUCUUUAAACCUGUGUACCAGUUACCACAAAGCAUACAAAUUGCUGUGAGGUUUAACUUGCCAAAGGGUAAUAUGUUUGUGUGAAGAAAGUAUAGGAACUAGACCUAGUCACUUGUGAUGUUCCAGUGGGGGUGGGCACAUGCCCUUUGUGACAAAGAUGAUGCUCAACAUUUAGCCUUCCUGCCCACCAUCCACUGAAACUCCUUUUCUGCCCUAUAAAAGCUUUUUCUGUGUAACUGAGUUCAUCAAAGAUGGUGUUUCAAAGGCCUUUGAUGAAGAAUUAAAAACUCUACUCAGGACCUCAGAGACACUGAGCGGUGUCUGCCAAUAGGUGUCCUGGAGUUGUUCAUCAAUUACAAAUGAUACUGAGGAAUGGACUGAGGAACAAAAGAGUUGUCAGAAUCUAUAAAUAUCAUCAUAGUCUUGACACAGGGAAUAGGAAGACUCCGGAGGAAGAAAUGCAUUCAUUCCUUGCUGCCUGGAGUGCUUAGAGAGAAGGUUCAGUCAUGUUUGAGUUUCCCAGUCAUUACUGGAUAUGUGCUUCCUAUGUCUUCCUUUUCUGUUCACCACGUGCUGUGGAGGCUGCUCUCUAAUGUGCUGCCCUUUGUCACUUGGUCACUCCGUGUGAAGCCAUCUAUGUUAUUUGUUCUUUGCUCUUGGCUGCAUCUAAAUAACCAUGUACAAAAGAGGAAAAUCACAACUUUUGCAUAAUUCGAAAAUUGUAUUUUAA